AUGAAGCUGAGGUUAAUGGCGAAGGAGCCAGCGAGGACUGUGAAGGAGAUUCUUGGAACGUGUGUUUCUGUUUGUGUACUGUUGAUGGGAAGGAUCCAAAGGAUUUGCAACAGGAGAUCAAUGAUGGUGAUGUUGAAAUCCUCGGGAUUUAUUUUUUUUAAACUUUGUUAUCUUUUGAUCAAGCCAUAUUUUUUGCUAAAUAACCAGAUUUCACAUUCCAUGCCAUUUCUUGGUGAAUCUACCUACACAUAUACUUCCUUUACGUGA
This is a non-coding RNA of Vicia faba (fava bean), 267 nucleotides long. The record is from the annotation of a GenBank genome assembly. Lineage: Eukaryota; Viridiplantae; Streptophyta; Magnoliopsida; Fabales; Fabaceae.